Molecule: long non-coding RNA, 1325 nt
Filed under: Fukomys damarensis (Damara mole-rat)
Lineage: Eukaryota; Metazoa; Chordata; Mammalia; Rodentia; Bathyergidae
Description: lncRNA (ENSFDAG00000026814.1)
Source: RNAcentral
GCUCUCCCGUCACUGAGACAAAAACAUGAUGUCCACAGCUUCGAGGAGGAGCGGGCGAGCGGGCUCACAGUUUCUGAGAUUCCGUCCACGGUGAGCAGCUCCAAGCCAGGAACAUCACGGUGGAAACAAAGAUGCUCAGUUCAUGGCAGCCAAAAAGCAGUGCAGGGAACAGUGCCAACGAGGAAGGGACCAGGGACCAGUUCCAGAGCACAUCCAACCUCCCGGGCACACCCAGGAGCCACUCUACCAAUCCGCUAGGAGACCCGACCCGGUGAAGCCAACAGACCCGGAUCAACAGCCGCAGGCCACCAGAGGCUUCCUGGCUGGCGCCUGCCCACUUGCUCUUCCUCUUUCGUACGGUUCUGCCACCCAGCAGCCAAGGGUGUCCUCCGAUCUGAAUGCCACUCGGGCAUCCAGUACUGGGCAGGCACUGAGCACAGGCGGGAAGGAGCCAAGGAUGGGCACCUGGAGGACAGGUGGGCAUUCUUUACAGCCUCCAGGGACAGAUGUCACCCCGGAGACGGGAGGAGACCCACGGAGAGAGAAACCGGGGUCCAAGAAGCCACAGCCCAGACGCAGCCACUGCGGGGAGAGUGGCUCAUCAUGCCGGUCUCAAGGAGGUCCACGUGCAGAAAGCCACAUGUGGGCCACGACUAAGGCCUGACACACAUGGACACGAAUAUUAAAAAAGUGAAAAGAAUCGCAUCGCAGCGGUGGGUUCGGGGUUUCCAGCGCAUUUCCUAAUGCUAUGGCUUCGCAUUUCAGAAGCUUUAAGAAAGGGAGGAAUGUGAGCCUUUUCUGGUGGCCUCAGGACAGGCUCCCGGUGUCCACAGCUGAGCCCUGAGUGGGAGGGACCCACGGAACACAGCAUGCGUCCUGGAGACCCAGAUCCAUGGCUGGAGGGGUCCACUCCUCCCACCCAGUCACCAGUGUGUCCUCCAAGGAAACGAAACUUCCAGCGCCCAGGAUCUCUGCCUGGACACCGGCGGCCGGGCAGCGCCAGCCUGAGAAGGAAUCGCAUGGGCAGCCAGGACUGCAAACGAAAGGGAGGUGGGCUCCGGCCUUGGCUGUGGUUUUGCUCUUCUGAGAGUGGGCUUGGCCUGUCCUCGGGCUGAAGUCCCUCGGUGACACCCAGGUUUCCUUGGAACCGCAGGGCUGCUGGUACCGCGGUCCUGAGGGUGUCUAAGCCCGCCCGUUCCGCCGGAGAGAACUUUCCAUCUUCUGCAGGCUGCUGCUCGGGUCCUAGCUCCGUUCCUGCAGCGCCCUGCGCUCCCAGUUACUGCCCCAGUGCCUUUGUGGGUCCCACCACUUCCGUUCCCUUGCCG